GCAGUAUCUCGUUAGGCGAGGCUCCUGUACAAACACAGGUUACUGAUCUGACGACGUCGAGAGACGCCCAAGAUUAGGACAGGUUAUAUCGAGUCAAGGUAUAACCCCAGGUAACUUCCCCCGCAUUUGGGGAUACGUUGUACAGUGCUAAAACCGAGACAUGGAGAUAGCGU
Cedecea davisae DSM 4568 is the source of this 173-nucleotide non-coding RNA. Lineage: Bacteria; Pseudomonadati; Pseudomonadota; Gammaproteobacteria; Enterobacterales; Enterobacteriaceae. The record is from Rfam.